RNAcentral lists this ribosomal RNA (500 nucleotides) under uncultured bacterium. Its description in RNAcentral is "partial 16S ribosomal RNA". It matches the Rfam family "Bacterial small subunit ribosomal RNA", at positions 29 to 523 of the family's 1533-position model. The record is from RNAcentral.
AUUGAACGCUGGCAGCAUGCCUUACACAUGCAAGUCGAACGGCAGCACGGGAGCAAUCCUGGUGGCGAGUGGCGAACGGGUGAGUAAUAUAUCGGAACGUGCCCAGUAGUGGGGGAUAACUGCUCGAAAGAGCAGCUAAUACCGCAUACGACCGGAGGGUGAAAGCGGGGGAUCGCAAGACCCCGCGCUAGUGGAGCGGCCGAUAUCAGAUUAGCUAGUUGGUGGGGUAAGGGUGCACCAAGGCGACGAUCUGUAGCUGGUCUGAGAGGACGACCAGCCACACUGGGACUGAGACACGGCCCAGACUCCUACGGGAGGCAGCAGUGGGGAAUUUUGGACAAUGGGCGCAAGCCUGAUCCAGCCAUGCCGCGUGCGGGAAGAAGGCCUUCGGGUUGUAAACCGCUUUUGUCAGGGAAGAAACGGCUCCUACUAAUACUGGGGGCUAAUGACGGUACCUGAAGAAUAAGCACCGGCUAACUACGUGCCAGCAGCCGCCGCCG